CAAAGAAUAGUUUAAUUUAGAACCC
RNAcentral lists this transfer RNA (25 nucleotides) under Macquaria australasica (Macquarie perch). RNAcentral describes it as "partial tRNA-Pro". Lineage: Eukaryota; Metazoa; Chordata; Actinopteri; Centrarchiformes; Percichthyidae. The record is from RNAcentral.